UUGAACGCUGGCGGCAUGCCUUACACAUGCCAGUCGAACGGCAGCAUGAUCUAGCUUGCUAGAUUGAUGGCGAGUGGCGAACGGGUGAGUAAUACAUCGGAACGUGCCCUGUAGUGGGGGAUAACUAGUCGAAAGAUUAGCUAAUACCGCAUACGACCUGAGGGUGAAAGUGGGGGACCGCAAGGCCUCAUGCUAUAGGAGCGGCCGAUGUCUGAUUAGCUAGUUGGUGAGGUAAAGGCUCACCAAGGCGACGAUCAGUAGCUGGUCUGAGAGGACGAUCAGCCACACUGGGACUGAGACACGGCCCAGACUCCUACGGGAGGCAGCAGUGGGGAAUUUUGGACAAUGGGCGAAAGCCUGAUCCAGCAAUGCCGCGUGUGUGAAGAAGGCCUUCGGGUUGUAAAGCACUUUUGUCCGGAAAGAAAUGGCUCUGGUUAAUACCUGGGGUCGAUGACGGUACCGGAAGAAUAAGGACCGGCUAACUACGUG
This 489-nucleotide ribosomal RNA is filed under the name uncultured bacterium. Its description in RNAcentral is "partial 16S ribosomal RNA". It matches the Rfam family "Bacterial small subunit ribosomal RNA", at positions 30 to 507 of the family's 1533-position model. The record is from RNAcentral.